GACGAACGCUGGCGGCGUGCUUAACACAUGCAAGUCGAACGGAAAGGCCCUGCUUUUGUGGGGUGCUCGAGUGGCGAACGGGUGAGUAACACGUGAGUAACCUGCCCUUGACUUUGGGAUAACUUCAGGAAGCUGGGGCUAAUACCGGAUAGGAGCUCCUGCUGCAUGGUGGGGGUUGGAAAGUUUCGGCGGUUGGGGAUGGACUCGCGGCUUAUCAGCUUGUUGGUGGGGUAGUGGCUUACCAAGGCUUUGACGGGUAGCCGGCCUGAGAGGGUGACCGGCCACAUUGGGACUGAGAUACGGCCCAGACUCCUACGGGAGGCAGCAGUGGGGAAUAUUGCACGAUGGGCGGAAGCCUGAUGCAGCAACGCCGCGUGCGGGAUGACGGCCUUCGGGUUGUAAACCGCUUUCGCCUGUGACGAAGCGUGAGUGACGGUAAUGGGUAAAGAAGCACCGGCUAACUACGUG
RNAcentral lists this ribosomal RNA (468 nucleotides) under uncultured bacterium. Its description in RNAcentral is "partial 16S ribosomal RNA". It matches the Rfam family "Bacterial small subunit ribosomal RNA", at positions 28 to 507 of the family's 1533-position model. The record is from RNAcentral.